Molecule: ribosomal RNA, 236 nt
Filed under: uncultured bacterium
Lineage: Bacteria
Description: partial 16S ribosomal RNA
Rfam family: Bacterial small subunit ribosomal RNA
Source: RNAcentral
CGGGACGGGUGAGUAACGCGUGGGUAACCUGCCUCAUACAGGGGGAUAACAGUUAGAAAUGACUGCUAAUGCCGCAUAAGACCACAGUACUGCAUGGUACAGUGGUAAAAACUCCGGUGGUAUGAGAUGGACCCGCGUCUGAUUAGGUAGUUGGUGAGGUAACGGCCCACCAAGCCGACGAUCAGUAGCCGACCUGAGAGGGUGACCGGCCACAUUGGGACUGAGACACGGCCCAG